GAAAAAACACAUACUUUUCUUUGUUUUGCCAUCAAACGCUUUCUUUCUAUGCGAAAGGGAUAGUUUCUUGCUACUACAAAUCUUUCUAACCCUAAAUUCAAUUUAAUUUCAUUCUAGUCAACAAUCAAUUCAUAAUUUGUUUUCUGUUUGCGACACUCUUUCGUUCUCCGUCAAUCUUGAUUAUCGCGCUCAAAAACCUCACAACACAAUGUAACACGUUCGUGUAACUCGCUCCGAGUCUCGUCCUCUUCGUUUUCAAUUGUUUUUAUCAUGCCGAUGGCUAAAGCGGAUUCCAAAGUCGUUGAUAACCGCGAGAUCAAAGAUGAAUUAUCGUGCUUGGAAUCAUCGUUGUUGGUUAAUCUCAUACAUGACUAACAAACAGGUGCUAUAUGAAAUGAAGAAAUCCAGAAGUUGGGCUGCACUGCACGUUUCUGAUAAUUGUUGCUUUCAUUAUCGCAGUGUAAGUUUUGAUUUAGUUGUUUGAUCCAGAUACUGGUUCUUAUAGUUUACACAAUUUAUACACCUUUUGAGUAGGAAGACAUUUAAUACGUUAUUUGAUGUGAUUGAGAUUUAGCGCUCUUGACAAUCAUAGCGGAGGACCAAAGUUAUGCAGAAGAACCUGCAUCUUAUGGUCAUAAUGCUGAUAUUGUCCAAGUAGUGAAGG
Trifolium pratense (red clover) is the source of this 664-nucleotide long non-coding RNA. RefSeq lists it as uncharacterized. The record is from RefSeq and is a predicted model, not a curated record. The transcript is spliced from 3 exons. NCBI's taxonomy places the organism in Eukaryota, Viridiplantae, Streptophyta, Magnoliopsida, Fabales, Fabaceae.